This 88-nucleotide transfer RNA is filed under the name Aureoumbra lagunensis. RNAcentral describes it as "tRNA-Ser". It matches the Rfam family "tRNA". Rfam says of the family: Transfer RNA (tRNA) molecules are approximately 80 nucleotides in length. The record is from RNAcentral. Lineage: Eukaryota; Pelagophyceae; Sarcinochrysidales; Sarcinochrysidaceae.
GGAGAGAUGGCUGAGUGGUCGAAAGCGGCAGAUUGCUAAUCUGUUGUACCGUAUUACGGUACCGGGGGUUCGAAUCCCCCUCUCUCCU